UAGGGCUGAGCAUGUGCAGAAAAAUCUUAAAGCUUAUGAAUGGAGAAAUCCAGUAUAUCAGAGAAUCAGAAAGAUGUUAUUUCCUGAUCAUUCUUGACCUGCCAAUUACUGGCAGAGGUUCAAAGAGUGUUGGCUAGGCUAACAGGAGUAAGAGAUGAACCUGUAAUAUCUCGUAAAAUUGGAAUAAGUGCAAGCUGUUGAAAUUCUGGUAAUGCCUCUGAUCCUUUAAUGGAACUUGACACAGGGUUACACAAGAGAGCAAGUAUGGGGGCCUAAUCGGCAUCAUGCUAAUAGUUUUGAACGAGCUGUUUCAUACAUUCUGUGACUUCUGUUCCUUGACCUACCAAUGACCGACAGAGGUUCAAAGAGUGUUGGCUAGGCUAACAGGAGUAAGAGAUGAACCUGUAAUAUCUCGUAAAAUUGGAACAAGUGCAAGCUGUUGAAAUUCUGGUAAUGCCUCUUAUCCUUUAAUGGAACUUGACACAGGGUUACGCAAGAGAGCAAGUAUGGGGAACUAAUCGGCAUCAUGCUAAUAGUUUUGAACGAGCCGUUUCAUGCAUUUUGUGACUUCUGUUUGCUGGCGUCUUUUACAACUCCUACCUAGUAUUGACAUAAAAAUGCUGGUUUGAAGCUUAAGCAAUGGACUAAGUUGCACGAGAGCUGUUGCACCUUUGCGCAUGCUAUUUCGCCAAGGUUAAUACUUGACAUAGUAAAUGGCUAAUUGCCAAAUAUUAGAAUAUAGUUAGCAUUAUUAAAGAAAUUUCCAUAAUUAAUUGAUCCCAAAGAUGUUCUGGUUAGCAUCUAUUCUGAAGAAUUUUAACAAGUAUAUUGCUGUAUAAUAUGAAUUAAAAGGUCCCUGCGAAAUAAAUAUCAUAGUUUCCAGUUGUCAGGCAGAAUUAGUGUUCUCCACUUUGUAUAUAGGAUUUCUGCACUUUUAUGUAACAUGAAUAUGCUGACAAUCUUAUAUGAGUAAAAUCCUCUUGCCAGGAAUGGGCAUCCUUUUAGUUAAAUAGCCAAUGAUUUCCCCUACAAUCAAGAGUGGGUUUGUUCAGCUUCC
Molecule: long non-coding RNA, 1057 nt
Filed under: Nicotiana benthamiana
Lineage: Eukaryota; Viridiplantae; Streptophyta; Magnoliopsida; Solanales; Solanaceae
Description: long non-coding RNA (NBEN_LNC038151)
Source: RNAcentral